GGCGUCAGAGGUGUAUAAGAGACGGGUGAAUCAUCGAAUCUUUGAACGCACAUUGCGCCCUGUGGUAUUCCGCAGGGCAUGCCUGUUCGAGCGUCAUUUCAACCCUCAAGCCUCGCUUGGUGUUGGGCCCUGCCCGUCGCGGCCGGCCCUAAAGAUAGUGGCGGCGCCGCCUGGCCCUCAGCGUAGUACAGCUCUCGCUCCAGGGUCCGGCGGCAGCCUGCCAGAACCCCCCAACUCUUGUGGUUGACCUCGGAUCAGGUAGGGAUACCCGCUGAACUUAAGCAUAUCAAUAAGCGGAGG
Molecule: unclassified non-coding RNA, 300 nt
Filed under: uncultured Oidiodendron
Lineage: Eukaryota; Fungi; Ascomycota; Leotiomycetes; Myxotrichaceae
Description: sequence contains 5.8S rRNA gene, ITS2
Rfam family: 5.8S ribosomal RNA (bases 1-96)
Source: RNAcentral